This 575-nucleotide ribosomal RNA is filed under the name Pagellus acarne (axillary seabream). RNAcentral describes it as "partial 16S ribosomal RNA". It matches the Rfam family "Bacterial large subunit ribosomal RNA", at positions 1819 to 2597 of the family's 2925-position model. Lineage: Eukaryota; Metazoa; Chordata; Actinopteri; Spariformes; Sparidae. The record is from RNAcentral.
CCUCUUGCAAGACCAAUGAAUAAGAGGUCCCGCCUGCCCUGUGACUAUAUGUUUAACGGCCGCGGUAUUUUGACCGUGCGAAGGUAGCGCAAUCACUUGUCUUUUAAAUGAAGACCUGUAUGAAUGGCACCACGAGGGCUUAACUGUCUCCCUCUCCCAGUCAAUGAAAUUGAUCUCCCCGUGCAGAAGCGGGGAUAAAAACAUAAGACGAGAAGACCCUAUGGAGCUUAAGACGCCAAGGCAGCUCACGUUAAACACUCCCAAAUAAGGGGACAAACCAAGUGAACCUCUGCCCUAAUGUCUUUGGUUGGGGCGACCGCGGGGAAAAAUUAAACCCCCAUGUGGAAUAGGAGUACUACGCUCCUACAUCCAAGAGCUCCCGCUCUAAUAAACAGAAUUUCUGACCAACAAGAUCCGGCAAUGCCGAUCAACGGACCGAGUUACCCUAGGGAUAACAGCGCAAUCCUCUUAAAGAGCCCUUAUCGACAAGGGGGUUUACGACCUCGAUGUUGGAUCAGGACAUCCUAAUGGUGCAGCCGCUAUUAAGGGUUCGUUUGUUCAACGAUUAAAGUCCU